AAUACAAACCAUUUUAAUUUUAACGUAUUAUCUAUGCAUUUUUUUUCUCGCAAUGUAAGCACGGAACGUUAAUAUUAUAGUUUUUAGCAAAGAGCAUAAUUAUAAUCACUACGUUUUAGUUUGAGAUAUGUUUGACAUAAAGUUAAACACUGAAGUUGACAUUGACACUUCUGGCGUGGGAAUAACUAGUAAACGAAUUCAUUGGGAUUUUUUUUUUUUAAUCUUUAUUUAUUUAUUGAGGGUUUUUAAAUAAAUGCCACCCUCAUAGUGGCUCUCUAACAAAACUACACCAGACUAAUUUUCACUAUUUCUACGUGCUAUGAUAUCGAUAACCAUAGAAUAAAGGAGCCCAGCCUCUUCCGAAGCAGGGGAUGCUAGGAUGCUAUUGACUCGGCCGAGGUCAUAGGAACAGACAUUAAGCAAGCGACGCUGUGCGACACCUCGGCGACAUUCCAUUGUUAUAUGAAACACGUCUUCAAUUACUCCGCAAAAACGCAAAAUUAUUCAAAGGAAUGUGGCCAGAUCGCAAUCUAAAGGCAACAAUUAGAUCCUGCCCGUUCAACUUACAAAAAGAAAACCAUGGGGCUCGAGGAAGUGAGGGUUGAAUCGUUUUGUACCAUAUGCCCUUUGUGCGAGAUCUUUCAUCGAAAUAUUCAGACCACCUGCACAUAUUCUUGACUUUGUAUAGAAUAUCAGUAAACCAAGGAACAUUAUGGCACUUUUCACUCAUUUCGGAUGCUUCUCUAGCCAACCGAUCCACCAACUCGUUCCCCACAACACCGCAGUGAGAGGGAAUCCAUUGUAAAAUAACUUUCUUUUUGCUUUGGGAAUUUUGUGAGACUCAACAUAUGCCACUGCUUCCAUUUAGGCAAUUGAUUCCCCAGUGAAGACGGAGGAUUGUGAGGGACAUUUGUAUGAUAAGAGGAUGUGGUAUCUAGGGAUCCAAACUGCUGCUCCCACACAGCUAUUGGGGCUCAAUUUUAAAGCAUCAGUGAAGAUUGAUACCACAGAUGAGAGAGCCUGUAAGCGAGGAAUGAGGGGGUGAUUGGAUAUCCAACAAGCCCUCAAAACAUAUCGGUCUGCAAGGAGUUGCCUAUGGAGAAAAAGGCGAGCUUCCACACACUCAACCUGCAUGGCAUUCUUCGAUGAGGAUCUCAUGGCUCCAAGAAUGAUCCGAAGACAUUUGGCUUGGAUAGCAUCUAACUUUUUGAGAGCUACUUUAUUGCAUGGUUCUAGAACAAAUGAACCAUAGUCCAUUUGGCUACGAAUUAGGGCAUUGUAGACAAGUUUUUGGCAGUAGGAAUGAGCGCCCCACCAGACCCCAGACAGGGAUCGGAGCACAUUAAUGCCAUUUUCACAUUUGUCAACAACAUGCUUUAAAUCAGGAACACCUGUCAUUUUGGAGUCAAAGAUAACACCCAGGAAUUUUACACUUCUGCUGUUGGGAAUAAUCUGGUCUUCAUAGUGGAGAACAACAUUAGGAAUGGAGUGGCUGCGUGUAAAAGUGACUGUGCAGCUUUUGGAGGGUGAAAGUGAAAGGCCAUGUUCAUCCAACCAGUCUUUGAGGUACACUAACGCCUCAUUCAAUCUUGUAGAUGCAUCAUCUACAUUGUGGGCUGUGGUAUAAACCACCAAGUCAUCGGCAUAUUGCAGAAUAUUGCAGAAGGGGAGGACAGAUUGCUCAACAUCAAAUGUAUAAAGAUUAUAUAGAAGAGGACUGAGGACGGAGCCCUGGGGAAGGCCUUGCCAUACAGUUAAAGGUGGGUGGAAGGUAUUCCAAGUUCUGAUUUUGAUGGUUCUUCCCAUGAACAGCUUGCAGAUAAUUUGUACAAUUCUCGCAGGUGUGCUCAGCUGUAGCAGUUUUGCUCUGAGCAGAGGGAGUUGCACAUUGUCAUAUACCGAUGAGAUAUCUAGGAAGCACCCAACGAGUUGCUGCUUCUUAGAGAGGGCCAGUCUAAUAUCUGAAGUUAAAAUGGUUAAGCUGUCCAAGGUGCUUCUUCCCUUGCGGAAUCCAAAUUGGGUAUUAGCUAGGAUUCCUUUAUUCUCCACCAACCAUUCCAAUCUGUUCUUCACCAAGUGUUCAAAAAUCUUUCCCAUAGUUGCAGAUAAUGCGAUGGGGCGAUAGGAAGAAGCUUGGCGGGAAUCUUUGCCUGGCUUCAAAAUUGGAAUUACAACUUGAGUCCUCCAAUCCUCUGGGACCUCACUAGACAUGAAAAACAAAUUGAACAGUUUUAGAAGGUGGUCUUUGGAAGGAGGGCUCAAUUUAUGGAUGAAGCAAUAUGGAAUGCCUUCUUCUCCAGGUGAGCUGUUGCGGAGACCAGUUAAAACCAUGUCAAGUUCUGAGAUAGAAAAGGGGUUGUCAAGUGGAACUAAGUGCGAAACGUAAACUGGGUUUAGACAGCACUCUUCUGGGACAGAUGGAGGGGCCAAUUUGCUUGUAAAUUCUUCCAGCCAGAUAGAAGAAUCGCAAGAUGAUGAGGGAUCGGACUUAAAAGAUCCUCGGAAUUUCUGCAUAUUUCUCCAAACCAGUGAUGAUGGGGUUCUGGGAUUAAUAUUUUCACAAAAUCCCUUCCAUCCCUUCUUUUUUGUUUUGUUAAGGAGGCGUUUUGUUUGGGCAGAGAUUUUUUUGAAAGCAGUAAAAUCUGUAGUGAGGCCUGUCUCAUUAUAUAUCCGUUCUGCAUCAUCUCUCUCUUUAACUGCUGCAAAUGAAAAAAAAAUGAUUUUUCUUAGGAAUAAUUCUUGGAAUUGGCGCCUAGCCGUUUUUAAGACAUGAUUUUCUGAGUUAUUUGAACUUAACAGAUUAAAUAUUAAAGGUACUAAUUCCUGGAGUAAUAAAAAUAAUUGUACCUAAUCGUUUUUUCCUAAAAAUAACUUGAAAAAUUAUAAUGCCUGCAAAAGUGUAAUAGCAAGAAAAAUAUAAAUGAGUAAAACUUGGAAACCACAAAUAAAAUGGCUCUUAUUAUAAUUGAAUAUGAAGGUACAAAAAUUUAGCUUUUAUAGAAUUUAUCAAUAACCACGGGAAUAUAGCGUAAUAAAGUACACCCGCCAUUCUGACUGUCAGGAUGGCGGGUGUACUGUUUGUUGGUGAUAACUUUAAGUACCGUGAGGUACAAUUUUUUUAAAGGAGGUACUAAAUAGUACAAACCGAAGUAUUCUCAUGCGGCUAUUAAAAUCGAAAUCGAAAUUCACAAGAAAGCAGGCGUUAGCGUAGCGUAGUAGGCGCACUUUGAAAUUGAUUUUAAUUGUGACGCUCUCAAGCAAAAGGUACCACAUCGUCAUAACCUUUCGGAGCGUCCUUAUGGCAAACGACAAUGUUGUAACUUUUUGCUUGAGAACGACACAAUUGUUGACCCAUUUACGGUUUAAGCAAAUUCGUUGUAAAUACUAACGCUAUGACAUCUCCAAUGUAAACGAUUAAAGCCCACGACUCACCGAUUAAAGUCCGCGACUGUACCUAACUUGUUGGACUAAGAAAAUAACUUCUGGACCUUAUUUUAUCUCAUAUAAAUCAAGAGUUUCGUAUCUUACCAUCUUUUGGAAAUGUUACCGGUAAUAUUGGUAACUUACUAGUAACAUUCCCAAAUGGAAACUUACUGGUAGCGGGAAUGUUUCCGCAGCCCAUCACUAGUGAUAAAGCAACGCAACCUAAAUGUGUUUGGAGUUGUUAGAAUUAUCUCGAUGAGUGCUAUUAGUUGCCCAGCUUGUACCAAAAAAUUAUUUUUGUCAAAAACUUAAUUUGAACAUGGACGCACACUAUAGAGCAAUAAAAAUCUAAACGUUUGUAUGGGUUUCACACAGAAAGACCCAUUGCUAUGGGUUUUAAGUGUACAUUAUUCUGAUUAUGUCUAGGUACAAUAUUAUCACUUACGCAAGAACAACACAUCGUAAAUAAAAGUAAUAAAAAUGAAAUUACUUUAUAUUUAUUUUUCUUUUCAAUCUAAUUUUAUUGAAGUGUUAUAAGCGAGUGGACGGAAUUUGAAAAUCAAACAGCAUGAUGCACUUCUUCAAUCAAACGCUACUUAUUGCCGUUACGAUUUUGUUUGCUAUGCAUUUUGUUAAUGCGUGUUGUGGAGCCCACGGAGAACACCGCAUUAAGCCACAAUUCCACAGAAUUGCUUUACCCAAUCGAAAAUCCCUUUUCCGUUUACGAAACAGUACUUCACCCUAUUAGAAACUCUACUAUCAAACUCUCUUUAACUUAAAAAUUCUACCUACCUACUUAUGAGGUUGUUAUAUAACAGGCGGAAUUUCAAAAAGCCUCUGCAGUAGACUCAAGAAAAUUACAAAAUGUACCAAAAACCACAAUGGCUAUUGAAAUACAGAAGAUUUUGGCUCAAAUUCAGGAUACCAAGAUUGUAAGGAAUAAAGGUCACGCCCAAGAAUUACUGAAACAAAUGAAGAAAGUAUUUCAAGCUGCCACUACUAAGUCUACAAUGACCAGAUGUCCUUUCGCAAGGUGCAAAGCAAAAUCUACGCGACCAAUUCAUUAAUUUGUUGAAACGCCCAUAAACCGAGAAUUAAAUUCUGCAUUAAAAUCUACAGAUUUUGUCUGGCUCUUUCUUUUAAUAACAUAAAAACUUCGCUAACUAGUGGCUCUCUUCACAGAGAGCUUAGUUGAAGACCUCGCGUAAAAUAUAAUAAACUAAAUGUAAUACUUCUCCGCCGUUUAAUAAAAAUUCGUCGAAAAAAUGAUUUAAUCAUCAACCUGCCCACAAAAUUACACGAGAAUCGGAUGAGAAUUGCGACUUGUAGAGAAAAACCCGGACAUACUAAAGCAUUUUUGACCAAGCUAAAAAGGAAACCUUCGCUAAUGCUCGGUCAAAAACUAUAUUUCCAUUACUCCUUUCAGGUGACAGAAUUCUAACACUACCAGUACCUUUGUGUUCGUUAUUUUGAAGUAUCAAAACUACCCUCAUAGUAAAACAUUUUUUAUUUAGGUACACUCAUGGACUCGCGGAUUUUAGUCGAUGAGCCAUUUACGGUUUACUUUACAUUGGACAUUUCACACUGUUAGUAUACACAACCAAAUUAACUUGAACCCUAAAUGGAUCAGCAAACAAAGUCUGUGACCGUACCCUAGCUACAUAUUAUAAAGAUUAUAAGUAGGUACCUAGAAAAAUCGUUUUUGCCUUUUGCUAUUAAAAUAUUGCCACAUAAAUAUGCAAACGAUGCACCAAACAUUUAUACAGAUAAGGGUGGGAUGAUAAAUAUAAUGUGUGUUUAAGCGCGUCUGCUAGCUGGCGCGGUUGCACGGAGCGGGUUGAGAACAACGAAAAAUAGUAUAAACAACGGUAACUGGCGCGGACGCGUGCGACGGAUUUUAGGGCUCCAAUACAUGAUGGCCCAGCGUAUGUCAGUCCAAGGGACGCAUUCAUGCGUUAGAGGGAGCAAGUGAUAUUGCUAUCUCAUUCCACCGCAUAGCUGCGUCCCUUAGACUGGCCUACGCUGAGACAUCGUGUAUAGGAGCCCUUAUCUACAAUGGCAACCGCGUGCGUGCGCCCCCUUCGUGCACCUGCGCCAGCUAGCGGACGCCCUUAGCUUUUGACGCGAUUAUUUCCAAAUCAACUACCAUGUUUUUAAAAAAUUUAAUUCAUGACUCCUAUUCCUUUUGAAAUUCACUUUGCGCCAAGGAAGCAAAAAAUAAAUCUAGUUCUUUUAAGUAUGCUUUACUUUAAAAAGAUUUUUUUUGGUUUUUAAAUAAUGUACCACUUUGUAAUCGUGAUUGAUUUAUGUACAUACUCCGUGUAUAAUACUAGUUUUAUAGUACUAAAUGAUGAUCUAAGGUAAGUCACGCACGCAGAAACAACAGACGGACACAGGGGUAUGGCGAAACCUAACUACUUAACUAGGUAACCCUAAAAAAGAGAAAUUCAACCUUAUUUUACGUCGUAGAUAACAGAUGUUGACACUCGAAAGAUGCUAGCUGGAAUCCGUAGAGUGCAUUAUAGGAAAACGUCAUAAAUGGCAAGUGCCAAAUUACAAUACAGAAAUCACUAACAAAAUUCGAUAUUAAAAAAACAUUUUAUAAAAAUGUAUUCAAACGAUUUUCGUCCUUUUUACAUUCAAGUAAAGAAAGAAGAAGAGAAAGGUGACAAGUAUGCCAGUAUCAAUAUGGAAGUAAAACGUAUAUCUAUUCCAGAGCCUCAUAAUCCAUUUACGAAGAAAACUACUUUUACGCAAACUUACCCUUCGACGUUAGAGCCCGCGGUACCGCGGAAGCCUUGCUGCGGUUAUUGUGGAUAGCCUUUUUCGUUUGACAUGCAAAAUAAACCGGAUAAUCUCAAGGAAACGAAAAGCCGACCUCUCAUGAAUCUCCUCUGUGUCCUGUGGGCCAGAAGCAUCGGUAACGUGUUAGGUUCUUCAAUGAGAUUGAUAUCCUGUCACUGCAUGUCUACAAAUGUAUACCUUUUUAUUUUACAAUCAUAUUCACAUUUGUCAGAUUAUAUUGUACUAGAACUGUCUGACUUGGAGGAAGUUGAAGAAUUCAAAACGAACCGUGGCCCGGCGCGACAAUAAAGAGUAUUUUGAUUAAGACAACAGAUUACUUAUUGAAUGUUGUAGAUGUAUUUUAUAUCCGUGGCCGUGUGUAUGUAAAAUGAAGUGAUGAUUUGCAAAUGAAAGUCUUGACAAAGAUCGUAAAAUUAUAAACUUGUCGAGAUGAUUUGACAACUUUGAGGAACAGGCAAGAGCAGCAUUCACCCAGUUCCCACAAGGUUGCUGCGUUUCGCUGCUUCCUUCGCUGUGCCGAUCCAAUGUUGUCCCUCGCCCAAAGAGGAACGAGCCAGACCUGUCUCCGGUGAUCUGACAAUUGUAAUAUUUUUAAUGUUAUCUUACCGCAGAAAUAAUCAUCCAGUAUGAAAUCUUUGUUAAUAUGUUCCUAUACCUAUUUAAGUCCUACAUAGGUAUACACCUAGAACCUAGCAAAGUUGAGCGAAACAAGAAAGUAAGUUAUUUGUUUUACAAGGGACAAAGUUGUUCUUUAACCGCUCGUGCUAAUAACCACGGGCGUAGCGAGUGGUUCGAUAAGUGGGAUCUUGAGCGUUGCGAGGGUUUCAAGGCACGAGGGUUAAACAAACUUUGCCUGCAAGUGAAACACAAAAAAUUUCACCACACCAACGCGAGGAAAAUACUAACUGAAAUACCCAAAAAAUCAAACCAAAUCAAAUGCAAAUGAUCAUAAUAAAGAAAUUAUCAUUCAAAAUCAUCAUUUAAAAGUCAAUUCUACCACAGCUAACAUAAGAAAACUACUCAAAAUUUGCAUCUGAUUACUUUGCCCCACAUGUGGAUAAUAUGCAAAUUUAUCAUUAGUUUUUGAACAAUCAAGAGGGCAUUUACCAGUUGGUGUGGUAAAUAGUGGCUGGCGCGUUAUUUUUUACGCAUGAAUCCAAUGCGCGCGCAAGGCUAAGGCGCGAACGAAAUCGACAAACAUCCAAUUUCAUAAUGUAAAAAUACUGAUAUUUUCGUAUUUCUAUUCGACGGAUGGUGAUCAAAUCGAUAAAAUGUUAUGUUUAUUCAUUAAUGUAAUUUAGGAGAUAAUUUAAUCUAUAAAUUAUGUUUGAUGUAAUAAAACCUCUUUGGUGGCACGUCGUAUGCAACACGUGUGCUAUGUUCAUUACACACAUUGGCUUUCUUAUUGCGCGCUCGCUUGCAGCUCGCGCGCACAAUAUCGCCUCGUGUGUAAUGACCAACUUAGCACACUUGUAUCACAAUGCACUAUUACGAUACAAGUGCAGAAAAUAAAUUCGCAACGAGUGGUGAUAAAUUAAAAUACAACCGAAGGGAGUGUUUUAAAUCGACACGAGUUGCGAAUUACCUAUUCGGACGUGUAUCGAAUAACGUUUUAGUGCAUAUGGCUUUAUAAAGUUUCGACAUAAGCACGGAACACUGACAUAAAUGUACUACCUCAAUGGCACGGAAAGUAGCACCAUAUGCACUGUAGAAUAAAUUACUUAUGACAUUUUCAGAACUGGGUCACAGUGUGAUCACACUACUACUAGUAACGGAGCACGCCGACAACGAUCUCGAGCAUUUGAUUCAAUUUGAUGGUACGAUUAGCACGCAGAACCCAACGAGCGCCUUGUGCCAUUUACACAGAACAUUCCUAAAUAGUUCAUCAAAACAUCAGGGCCACCCUUCGCGUAAUCGCAGGGAGAGUAUGUAGAGCUACUAAAAUUCGCGUUGCGUCGCUGGUUCUCAGUUGCGAUUCUUCAAAACAUAUUAUUUGUAUACAAAUUAUAUACGUCUAUAUGGUUAAUGUAUAAAUAAAAAGUUGUGAACCUCUAA
Molecule: long non-coding RNA, 8283 nt
Organism: Cydia pomonella (codling moth)
Lineage: Eukaryota; Metazoa; Arthropoda; Insecta; Lepidoptera; Tortricidae
Exons: 5
Source: RefSeq, a predicted model, not a curated record